GGGAAUAUUGGACAAUGGGCGCAAGCCUGAUCCAGCCAUGCCGCGUGAGUGAUGAAGGCCUUAGGGUUGUAAAGCUCUUUCACCCACGACGAUAAUGACGGUAGUGGGAGAAGACGCCCCGGCUAACUUCGUGCCAGCAGCCGCGGUAAUACGAAGGGGGCUAGCGUUGCUCGGAAUCACUGGGCGUAAAGGGCGCGUAGGCGGCCGAUCAAGUCAGGGGUGAAAGCCUGUGGCUCAACCACAGAAUUGCCUUUGAUACUGUUCGGCUCGAGACCGGAAGAGGUUGGUGGAACUGCGAGUGUAGAGGUGAAAUUCGUAGAUAUUCGGAAGAACACCAGUGGCGAAGGCGACUUACUGGACGAUUGUUGACGCUGAGGUGCGAAAGCGUGGGGAGCAAA
Molecule: ribosomal RNA, 398 nt
Filed under: uncultured bacterium
Lineage: Bacteria
Description: bacterial SSU rRNA
Rfam family: Bacterial small subunit ribosomal RNA
Source: RNAcentral